RNAcentral lists this small RNA (124 nucleotides) under Marmota monax (woodchuck). Lineage: Eukaryota; Metazoa; Chordata; Mammalia; Rodentia; Sciuridae. The record is from RNAcentral.
GCCAGGCACAGUGGCGCACACCUGUAAUCCUAGUGGCUUGGAGGCUGAGGCAGGAGGAUCACGAGUUCAAAGCCAGCCUCAGCAAUGGUGAGGCACUAAGCAACUCAGUGAGACACUGUCUCUA